Molecule: long non-coding RNA, 1009 nt
Filed under: Setaria viridis
Lineage: Eukaryota; Viridiplantae; Streptophyta; Magnoliopsida; Poales; Poaceae
Description: long non-coding RNA (SVIR_LNC002736)
Source: RNAcentral
UGAGCUUGUUAUAAAUCAUGCAACAUCGUCAAAGGUCAAUUGCUGCAACAUGUCAGGUAUGCAGAUCCAAUUGACCCUACAUGUGAAGGUGCUUAUAUAUACCCACCACGGAGAAGCUCACUGCCAUUUAGGCCGCUCCCACUGUGUAGGAGUUUGCUACCAGGAGGCUACCCACAUCGUAGAGGAUCUGAGUUGGAACUUCAAAUAAUUUGAUCGGUUCUUUGUCAUUUGGUCAACAUCCAUUAGAGCUUCUCCCCCCAUUUUCUCUUGACCUCAAACUCCCAUUGCACCCCAUCCGCAGGAAUCAUUGUGCCAACGACGCCACUCAACAUCUCUGUUUCCCCUCUCAUCCUUCCACAUUCUUCUCUCAACAAAAUGGCAUGGGAGGAGGCUUUACAAUACAACUUCAAGUGUUUGAUAUUGCCACAUGAAGAAGCUAGCAAUUUAUUUAGUUGCAUGUAGUGAGCAUGAACUUAGUUCUUCACCAAACAAUCUUCCAAUUAUUUAUCUUGUUCCAAGCGGUAGCUAAAUUGUAUUAAUCAAACAAUUCAAGGAAGAUCAUAUCAAGUGCAUCACCUGAAUACCCCCUCUGUCCAAAAACAAGUUAUUUAAGAAUUCAAAAUUUAUCAAAACGUGUCAUUAUUCUCUAUUUGGUACGUACAUCAGUACAUAGUACAUGUGCAAGCGGCUGUCAAUUAGCAUCAAAUAUGACUAAUAAAUAGGGCAACUAAUGUCAUUUCACAUCCUUUUUAAUCUGUUCGAGAUUUACUAGGAUGAAUUUCUUUUUGAGAUGGAGGGAGUAUGUGAUUCUACCCAUUGCAUGCCUAUAGUUAGUAGUAAGCCAUGUCCGUGAAAAAAAGAUAAACAAUAAAAAUAACUUAGAAAGAAGCCCAUGAAAAGCAACCUAUUUAAUUUGGCUCUAAAUAUAUUUUUUGCCCCUCACCCCCUCCGUAACCAAAUGUGCUACACAGCCCCAUACUAAGGCCCAAGGCCUUCACCCCUAGUUCCC